UGGCAAGCAUGCCAAGAAAUGGUCAAGAUUGGCCUCUGGUGAGUGAUAUGGUUGCCAAAAACCAAAGAUUACUAGUCUUCACUUCUAUCAAGUCUAAGGAACAAAGUGAAGGCAUUGCUUAUCAGUGGAAUUUCAUGGUUGAAAAUCAGUAUGGAGAUGGUGGUAGGAAAGCAGGAAGCUGUCCAAACAGGGCAGAAUCAUCUCCUCUUAACGAUAAAAGCAAAUCGUUGGUGUUGGUAAACUACUUUCGAUCCGUUCCAAUUAAACCAAUCACAUGUGAAGAUAACUCAGGAGAACUAAUUAACAUGAUACACACUUGUUAUGGUGCUGCUGGUAACCGGUGGGCUAAUUUUGUUGCUGUUGAUUAUUACAAGAGGAGUGAGGGAGGAGGAUCAUUUCAGGCUGUAGACACUCUCAAUGGAAAGCUGUUGUGUGGAUGUGAUGAUGUUCAUACCUGUGUGCCUGGAUCAAC
This 472-nucleotide small RNA is filed under the name Vigna angularis var. angularis. RNAcentral describes it as "Non-protein coding transcript". Lineage: Eukaryota; Viridiplantae; Streptophyta; Magnoliopsida; Fabales; Fabaceae. The record is from RNAcentral.